GUGCCAGCCGCCGCGGUAAUACGGAGGGUGCAAGCGUUAUCCGGAAUCAUUGGGUUUAAAGGGUCCGUAGGCGGAUUGAUAAGUCAGAGGUGAAAUCCCGCAGCUUAACUGUGGAACUGCCUUUGAUACUGUCAGUCUUGAGUUAUGUGGAAGUAGAUAGAAUGUGUAGUGUAGCGGUGAAAUGCUUAGAGAUUACACAGAAUACCGAUUGCGAAGGCAGUCCACUACGUAUAUACCGACGCUAAUGGACGAAAGCGUGGGGAGCGAACAGGAUUAGAUACUCUGGUAGUCCACGCCGUAAACGAUGGACACUAGUUGUUGGGGUAACUCAGUGACUAAGCGAAAGUGAUAAGUGUCCCACCUGGGGAGUACGAUCGCAAGAUUGAAACUCAAAUAAAUUGGCGG
This 405-nucleotide ribosomal RNA is filed under the name uncultured bacterium. RNAcentral describes it as "bacterial SSU rRNA". It matches the Rfam family "Bacterial small subunit ribosomal RNA", at positions 505 to 916 of the family's 1533-position model. The record is from RNAcentral.